Non-coding RNA from Schistosoma rodhaini, 48 nucleotides. The record is from Rfam. Lineage: Eukaryota; Metazoa; Platyhelminthes; Trematoda; Strigeidida; Schistosomatidae.
AUCUAGCUGACGAGUCUCAAAUAUUACGAAACGCGCGUCACACUGGAU